Molecule: long non-coding RNA, 372 nt
Organism: Panthera uncia (snow leopard)
Lineage: Eukaryota; Metazoa; Chordata; Mammalia; Carnivora; Felidae
Exons: 3
Source: RefSeq, a predicted model, not a curated record
UGUUUUGUGCUGUUUUUCUAGGAAGGAACAGCAAAGUCAGCAAUGGAAGCAAAGGAAGAUGGUGUUGGUAUUAUUGAAAAUGUGCCACCCGAGCAAACAGUUAAUGACAGUUUGACUUCUGCUGGUGGAGUGCAUUAAAAUUACAGAAGUGAUAUCAUGUCAGCAUUAGAAUUAGAAGAGGAAGAUGUAGAAUCACCUUCUCUUCCUGAGUAUCAAGUUCCAUUAAAGGUUGAAGAAAAAAAGAAGCACAGAGGAAGUGACAUGGAAGUAUCAGAAAACAUACAUGAUGCUGCGGCUGCUGGAUUAAUUCCACAAAGACAGAAUGGAAAAACUGAUAACCAUCAAUUGCCUCUUACAGAAAAUAAAGAUUCU